CCUACGGGCGGCAGCAGUGAGGAAUAUUGGUCAAUGGACGCAAGUCUGAACCAGCCAUGCCGCGUGCAGGAAGACGGCCCUAUGAGUUGUAAACUGCUUUUGUACGAGGGCAAACGCAGCUACGCGUAUCUGUCUGAAAGUAACGUACGAAUAAGGAUCGGCUAACUCCGUUCCAGCAGCCGCGGUAAUACGGAGGAUUCAAGCGUUAUCCGGAUUUAUUGGGUUUAAAGGGUGCGUAGGCGGAGCGUUAAGUCAGUGGUAAAAUUGAGGGGCUCAACCCCUUCCCGCCAUUGAAACUGGCGUUCUUGAGUGGAAGAGAAGUAUGCGGAAUGCGUGGUGUAGCGGUGAAAUGCAUAGAUAUCACGCAGAACCCCGAUUGCGAAGGCAGCAUGCCGGCUUCCGACUGACGCUGAAGCACGAAAGCGUGGGGAUCGAACAGGAUUAGAUACCCUAGUAGUC
Molecule: ribosomal RNA, 459 nt
Filed under: uncultured bacterium
Lineage: Bacteria
Description: partial 16S ribosomal RNA
Rfam family: Bacterial small subunit ribosomal RNA
Source: RNAcentral